Molecule: unclassified non-coding RNA, 309 nt
Filed under: uncultured Sordariomycetes
Lineage: Eukaryota; Fungi; Ascomycota; Sordariomycetes
Description: sequence contains ITS1
Rfam family: 5.8S ribosomal RNA (bases 1-105)
Source: RNAcentral
AAAAUGCGAUAAGUAAUGUGAAUUGCAGAAUUCAGUGAAUCAUCGAAUCUUUGAACGCACAUUGCGCCCGCCAGUAUUCUGGCGGGCAUGCCUGUUCGAGCGUCAUUUCAACCCUCAAACCCCCGGGUUUGGUGUUGGAGAUCGGUCAGCUUUCUGCUCACCGGCUCCGAAAUCUAGUGGCGGUCUCGCUGCAGCCUCCAUUGCGUAGUAGAUAACACCUCGCAACUGGAACGCGGCGCGGCCAAGCCGUUAAACCCCCAACUUCUGAAUGUUGACCUCGGAUCAGGUAGGAAUACCCGCUGAACUUAA